AUUGAACGCUGGCGGCAUGCCUAACACAUGCAAGUCGAACGGAGAUAGGGGCAACCUUAUUUCAGUGGCGGACGGGUGAGGAAUGCGUCGGAAUCCGCCCUAUGGUGGGGAGUAACACAGGGAAACUUGUGCUAAUACCGCAUAAUGUCGAGAGACCAAAGCAGGGGACCGGCAAGGCCUUGCGCGAUAGGAUGAGCCGACGCCCGAUUAGCUUGUUGGUAGGGUAAUGGCCUACCAAGGCGACGAUCGGUAGCUGGUCUGAGAGGAUGAUCAGCCACACUGGCACUGGAACACGGGCCAGACUCCUACGGGAGGCAGCAGUGGGGAAUAUUGCGCAAUGGGCGAAAGCCUGACGCAGCCACGCCGCGUGAGCGAUGAAGGCCUCGGUCGUAAAGACUCUGUGGGGAGGA
Molecule: ribosomal RNA, 410 nt
Filed under: uncultured bacterium
Lineage: Bacteria
Description: bacterial SSU rRNA
Rfam family: Bacterial small subunit ribosomal RNA
Source: RNAcentral